GGAUAGGAGCUUGACGAUGACCUACUCUCACAUGGGGAGACCCCACACUACCAUCGGCGAUGCGUCGUUUCACUUCUGAGUUCGGGAAGGGAUCAGGUGGUUCCAACGCUCUAUGAUCGUCAAGCAAUUCGG
This 132-nucleotide ribosomal RNA is filed under the name Pseudomonas aeruginosa. The record is from RNAcentral. Lineage: Bacteria; Pseudomonadati; Pseudomonadota; Gammaproteobacteria; Pseudomonadales; Pseudomonadaceae.